Molecule: transfer RNA, 71 nt
Filed under: Auricularia auricula-judae (jelly ear fungus)
Lineage: Eukaryota; Fungi; Basidiomycota; Agaricomycetes; Auriculariales; Auriculariaceae
Also listed under: 1 other name
Description: tRNA-Met
Rfam family: tRNA
About the family: Transfer RNA (tRNA) molecules are approximately 80 nucleotides in length. Their secondary structure includes four short double-helical elements and three loops (D, anti-codon, and T loops). Further hydrogen bonds mediate the characteristic L-shaped molecular structure. tRNAs have two regions of fundamental functional importance: the anti-codon, which is responsible for specific mRNA codon recognition, and the 3' end, to which the tRNAs corresponding amino acid is attached (by aminoacyl-tRNA synthetases). tRNAs cope with the degeneracy of the genetic code in two manners: having more than one tRNA (with a specific anti-codon) for a particular amino acid; and 'wobble' base-pairing, i.e. permitting non-standard base-pairing at the 3rd anti-codon position.
Source: RNAcentral
CGCGAAGUAGUGUAAAGGCAACAUAUCGGUCUCAUAAUCCGAAGACAGUGGUUCGAUUCCUCUCUUCGCAU